AUAUGAAAGAAACCAAAUUGUAUACAGUAAAACUUUAAAGUGGGAAAGAGAUAGGGUGGUGAGAUACGGUUAGUGUUCUAAAAUCUUGAAAUAUAUACACUGACAGUCACUGUACAGGUUUUAUAUCAGUGGUUAAUAUAUGUUUAUGGGACUAGCAUUGCACUAUCUCCUGAAAAGGGAAUAUAGCGUUGAAUACAAACUAUAAAAACCCAAUCACAUUUCAAUUUAACAAUUGGACCUUGAUGAGUAAUAUGCAUACAAAAUACUAAACUGUUUCAUUACAUAUUUUAUGUCUGGACCUUUGACGUUGCAAUAAAAUAGGUUCGGGUGAGGUAAAAGUUUUUUCCAGCAUUCCACCGGUGGGGUAGCUAGAAAUUCUGUUUCGGGAAAGGUGGGGUAAUGAUUUUUUUUGGCGGCAUUAUACUUUCUCUUCGGCCCCCACCCCUGCCAUAAAUAAUGACCGGUCCCUUAACAAUUUGGGGGGGGGGGCUGAAGCCCCCAGCCCCCCACUUCCUACGCCUCUGGCCUCUGCAUUCCUGGUCCUUAACCUUGCCUAAAAGCAAAUUGGAUUUACUUUUUCAUGAAGAAUGUUUCAAAAAUAGAAUGAUUGACAAAUAUUUCCCCAAUGGGCAUAUUCUUAUGUAAUGUCUAAUAAAAUGAUCAUUAAUUAAUUAAUUUUUGAAAUGAAGGAUUUGUAUUGCAGUUCUUAUAUGUCAUAUUAAAUUCAGGAACACAAAAUCAUUUUGCCUAAGAGAGACAUGAUUACAAUAAUAAUCAUAAUACAUUAGUAUAAUGAUAAUGCUGCAGUUUGAUUGGUUGAGAGGAGUUCGAUUUUGAGCUUGUAAAUGCCCCAAUUGUUAGCCAAUCAGACUGAAGUUCUACAUGAAGAGACACAAGCAGCUUUCUACAAUUUUUAUUUUAUUUGGACAUGAAAGUUUGAAGUACUAUGUGUGCAUGUGACAAUGUCCAGAAUGGGCCAUUCCAUUAAUAUAGGCACCCCGCUGAUAUUGAGGGAUCACCUUUUAACCACCUUAGGAUAUAAAAAUCGUAGGGUCAACCCCUCUUUGAUGGAAAUAGUUGUGCCCUCCUAGGAUAUCACCACUAUAGCCCCUUAGGAUAUUGUUAAUGCACCAGUCAAUGUAAAUCCCUACCCCAUUUAACCUCGAG
This is a non-coding RNA of Paramuricea clavata, 1167 nucleotides long. Lineage: Eukaryota; Metazoa; Cnidaria; Anthozoa; Malacalcyonacea; Plexauridae. The record is from the annotation of a GenBank genome assembly.